Molecule: long non-coding RNA, 1753 nt
Organism: Boleophthalmus pectinirostris (great blue-spotted mudskipper)
Lineage: Eukaryota; Metazoa; Chordata; Actinopteri; Gobiiformes; Gobiidae
Exons: 3
Source: RefSeq, a predicted model, not a curated record
CUCCAUGCCGGGAAGAGCCGCCGCCACACGUCGAAACAACUGGGAAAAUGAAAUGCAAUAUGAGAAUCUGUAAACACCAUGGACCACCACCACGGCCACAGUGGAGUCACGGAUGUAACUGGGAAUGAGGCUCCUGAAACGCUCCUGUCCCGCUGUGUCCCAGAGCUGCAGCCUCACCUGGGGAAGAAGGACAGACAAUGCAAUGGACAAGUUCUGGCUCAUAACGUCUCGGGACACUAGUGAAUAUGCACACACAUGGAGAGCUCAACUACUUUCUCAUCAAAGCCCUGGCACCUCUACACAUCAAAGGAUAACGCCCAUCUCUACGAUGAGAACUUUGACCUGGAGGCUCUGAUCUGCCCCACACCCACAGGAGGCAUUCAAGAUCCAAAGGAGACCCACAUCAGGACUCCUCAAACCCUGAGGAAAGAAAUCUAGUCCAGGAAUUUACAGCUCUGGUCAGGGCGCUGCACAAAGAGUUGGAGUGGACAAAGGCCAAGCUUCAGGGUCCAAAGAAGCUUUGUUUUGGACUGCCAGCUUAAGGCUGAGGAGAAGAUGGGCAAAGAAAAGGCCUUGGACUUGGACUGCUACUUCUCAGAAGAAGGACAAAGAACUCCAAGACCUAAACGUACUGCACAUAAGUUGCUCUGGUACCUGUAGGAUUAUACAGUCAUGGAAUAGUUAAACAAAAAAGACUUUGACUUGCAAAAACUCACUGAUACUCUUUGGGAGAAGACAAGCAACUACAAGGAGAGGUUAGUGCACAUAAGGAGCCCUGGUACCUGUAUAAUUCAAAAGUACAGAAAAAUGUGCAACUAAAACAACAGCUUGCCAACUCCAAAAUAGUCAUGGAAAGACUAAAGGAAAAGACAUGGAGUUGAAAGAGCUCAAAGCCACUCUCUUGAAGAAAGAGAAAGAGCUGGAAAAACCAAGUUAGUGCAUACAAGGAGAUAAGAUAUAUAUCUGGAUAAUAAUACAGUGAGAGACAUAGCUCCAACAAGAGCUGGCCAGUUAUUUAUAGAGUUUUUGUUUUAUAUAAAAAAAUUAAAUACUGCAAUAAAAUAGUUUGCACUACAACUUAUAGUUAUCUAAUAUCUUCAUCUCAUAUCACGUGGCCCUUAAAGAAUGUCAGACAAAACAUUGUAUUCAAGUACUUUAUAACUUCAACCCCGCUCUAUCUGACUUUGAGACCCCUGAUAUAGAUGAUCAAAUGUUCUCUGCAAAGAACAACAUUUUCAGUUUUUGUGUAGAAAUGUUUUAAAUGUAGUUUAGACCUCUACAAACAUCUUCUGAAAUGCAUGAGACUCUUGGAUAAGUUUAUCAAUUCAUAUUUCAGUUUUCUCUCAAAUGGUAAUGCUCCUGGACUUCUUUUCAAUGUAGUGUAAUCUUAUUUUUAAAUCUUACUUUUGAAGCAUAAGUGUCAAAUCUAAUCACAAUUGCAAUACUUUCAACUUUUAAUUCAACUUUUUACCAAAAUCCUGCAGCUCUAUACCAAAGGAAACAAAUUUACCAUCCCAUUCCAAACCACUGACUUAUAUCACUUAGAAUAGAUUAUCCAAGCGAUUUUACAACAUACACAUACAACACAGUUAUCCCAUCCAUCAGCCAUAAACCAGAUGCCCUGUGCUAUUGCUCGGAGCGGGACCCUGUGAUGACACCUCCAAGGUCAGGGUGCUGGGGGCCCCUCAUGAUAAAGAGCUCUGAGACAGCUUUGAUUAUUACACAGAUCACAGACUGCAAAUCUAACUUAUGU